RNAcentral lists this ribosomal RNA (2992 nucleotides) under Salmonella enterica subsp. enterica serovar Infantis. Its description in RNAcentral is "23S ribosomal RNA". It matches the Rfam family "Bacterial large subunit ribosomal RNA". Lineage: Bacteria; Pseudomonadati; Pseudomonadota; Gammaproteobacteria; Enterobacterales; Enterobacteriaceae. The record is from RNAcentral. RNAcentral also lists the same sequence under 5 other names.
GGUUAAGCGACUAAGCGUACACGGUGGAUGCCCUGGCAGUCAGAGGCGAUGAAGGACGUGCUAAUCUGCGAUAAGCGCCGGUAAGGUGAUAUGAACCGUUAUAACCGGCGAUUUCCGAAUGGGGAAACCCAGUGUGAUUCGUCACACUAUCAUUAACUGAAUCCAUAGGUUAAUGAGGCGAACCGGGGGAACUGAAACAUCUAAGUACCCCGAGGAAAAGAAAUCAACCGAGAUUCCCCCAGUAGCGGCGAGCGAACGGGGAGGAGCCCAGAGCCUGAAUCAGCAUGUGUGUUAGUGGAAGCGUCUGGAAAGGCGCGCGAUACAGGGUGACAGCCCCGUACACAAAAGCGCAUGUGCUGUGAGCUCGAUGAGUAGGGCGGGACACGUGGUAUCCUGUCUGAAUAUGGGGGGACCAUCCUCCAAGGCUAAAUACUCCUGACUGACCGAUAGUGAACCAGUACCGUGAGGGAAAGGCGAAAAGAACCCCGGCGAGGGGAGUGAAAAAGAACCUGAAACCGUGUACGUACAAGCAGUGGGAGCACAGGUUUACCUGUGUGACUGCGUACCUUUUGUAUAAUGGGUCAGCGACUUAUAUUCUGUAGCAAGGUUAACCGUAUAGGGGAGCCGUAGGGAAACCGAGUCUUAACCGGGCGUUAAGUUGCAGGGUAUAGACCCGAAACCCGGUGAUCUAGCCAUGGGCAGGUUGAAGGUUGGGUAACACUAACUGGAGGACCGAACCGACUAAUGUUGAAAAAUUAGCGGAUGACCUGUGGCUGGGGGUGAAAGGCCAAUCAAACCGGGAGAUAGCUGGUUCUCCCCGAAAGCUAUUUAGGUAGCGCCUCGUGAAUUCAUCUCCGGGGGUAGAGCACUGUUUCGGCUAGGGGGCCAUCCCGGCUUACCAACCCGAUGCAAACUGCGAAUACCGGAGAAUGUUAUCACGGGAGACACACGGCGGGUGCUAACGUCCGUCGUGAAGAGGGAAACAACCCAGACCGCCAGCUAAGGUCCCAAAGUCAUGGUUAAGUGGGAAACGAUGUGGGAAGGCCCAGACAGCCAGGAUGUUGGCUUAGAAGCAGCCAUCAUUUAAAGAAAGCGUAAUAGCUCACUGGUCGAGUCGGCCUGCGCGGAAGAUGUAACGGGGCUAAACCAUGCACCGAAGCUGCGGCAGCGAACGUAUCACCCAAGACAACUUUACGGAGUUGACGAUUGACGGAGCGAAGCGACGUCAAAGCGUUCAUUAAAGUCGAGUUGGCUUAGGGAUACGUUCGUUGGGUAGGGGAGCGUUCUGUAAGCCUGUGAAGGUGUGUCGUGAGGCAUGCUGGAGGUAUCAGAAGUGCGAAUGCUGACAUAAGUAACGAUAAAGCGGGUGAAAAGCCCGCUCGCCGGAAGACCAAGGGUUCCUGUCCAACGUUAAUCGGGGCAGGGUGAGUCGACCCCUAAGGCGAGGCCGAAAGGCGUAGUCGAUGGGAAACGGGUUAAUAUUCCCGUACUUGGUGUUACUGCGAAGGGGGGACGGAGAAGGCUAUGUUGGCCGGGCGACGGUUGUCCCGGUUUAAGCGUGUAGGUGUGUGUUCCAGGUAAAUCCGGUUCACUUUAACACUGAGGCGUGACGACGAGGCACUACGGUGCUGAAGCAACAAAUGCCCUGCUUCCAGGAAAAGCCUCUAAGCAUCAGGUAACACGAAAUCGUACCCCAAACCGACACAGGUGGUCAGGUAGAGAAUACCAAGGCGCUUGAGAGAACUCGGGUGAAGGAACUAGGCAAAAUGGUGCCGUAACUUCGGGAGAAGGCACGCUGACACGUAGGUGAAGUGAUUUACUCAUGGAGCUGAAGUCAGUCGAAGAUACCAGCUGGCUGCAACUGUUUAUUAAAAACACAGCACUGUGCAAACACGAAAGUGGACGUAUACGGUGUGACGCCUGCCCGGUGCCGGAAGGUUAAUUGAUGGGGUCAGCGCAAGCGAAGCUCCUGAUCGAAGCCCCGGUAAACGGCGGCCGUAACUAUAACGGUCCUAAGGUAGCGAAAUUCCUUGUCGGGUAAGUUCCGACCUGCACGAAUGGCGUAAUGAUGGCCAGGCUGUCUCCACCCGAGACUCAGUGAAAUUGAACUCGCUGUGAAGAUGCAGUGUACCCGCGGCAAGACGGAAAGACCCCGUGAACCUUUACUAUAGCUUGACACUGAACAUUGAGCCUUGAUGUGUAGGAUAGGUGGGAGGCUUUGAAGUGUGGACGCCAGUCUGCAUGGAGCCGACCUUGAAAUACCACCCUUUAAUGUUUGAUGUUCUAACGUGGACCCGUAAUCCGGGUUGCGGACAGUGUCUGGUGGGUAGUUUGACUGGGGCGGUCUCCUCCUAAAGAGUAACGGAGGAGCACGAAGGUUGGCUAAUCCUGGUCGGACAUCAGGAGGUUAGUGCAAUGGCAUAAGCCAGCUUGACUGCGAGCGUGACGGCGCGAGCAGGUGCGAAAGCAGGUCAUAGUGAUCCGGUGGUUCUGAAUGGAAGGGCCAUCGCUCAACGGAUAAAAGGUACUCCGGGGAUAACAGGCUGAUACCGCCCAAGAGUUCAUAUCGACGGCGGUGUUUGGCACCUCGAUGUCGGCUCAUCACAUCCUGGGGCUGAAGUAGGUCCCAAGGGUAUGGCUGUUCGCCAUUUAAAGUGGUACGCGAGCUGGGUUUAGAACGUCGUGAGACAGUUCGGUCCCUAUCUGCCGUGGGCGCUGGAGAACUGAGGGGGGCUGCUCCUAGUACGAGAGGACCGGAGUGGACGCAUCACUGGUGUUCGGGUUGUCAUGCCAAUGGCACUGCCCGGUAGCUAAAUGCGGAAGAGAUAAGUGCUGAAAGCAUCUAAGCACGAAACUUGCCCCGAGAUGAGUUCUCCCUGAGACUUAGAGUCUCCUGAAGGAACGUUGAAGACGACGACGUUGAUAGGCCGGGUGUGUAAGCGCAGCGAUGCGUUGAGCUAACCGGUACUAAUGAACCGUGAGGCUUAACCUU